GACGAACGCUGGCGGCGUGCUUAACACAUGCAAGUCGAACGGAAAGGCCCUGCUUUUGUGGGGUGCUCGAGUGGCGAACGGGUGAGUAACACGUGAGUAACCUGCCCUUGACUUUGGGAUAACUUCAGGAAACUGGGGCUAAUACCGGAUAGGAGCUCCUGCUGCAUGGUGGGGGUUGGAAAGUUUCGGCGGUUGGGGAUGGACUCGCGGCUUAUCAGCUUGUUGGUGGGGUAGUGGCUUACCAAGGCUUUGACGGGUAGCCGGCCUGAGAGGGUGACCGGUCACAUUGGGACUGAGAUACGGCCCAGACUCCUACGGGAGGCAGCAGUGGGGAAUAUUGCACAAUGGGCGGAAGCCUGAUGCAGCAACGCCGCGUGCGGGAUGACGGCCUUCGGGUUGUAAACCGCUUUCGCCUGCGACGAAGCGUGAGUGACGGUAAUGGGUAAAGAAGCACCGGCUAACUACGUG
This 468-nucleotide ribosomal RNA is filed under the name uncultured bacterium. RNAcentral describes it as "partial 16S ribosomal RNA". It matches the Rfam family "Bacterial small subunit ribosomal RNA", at positions 28 to 507 of the family's 1533-position model. The record is from RNAcentral.